UGGGGAAUAUUGCGCAAUGGGGGAAACCCUGACGCAGCGACGUCGUGUGAGGGAAGAAGGCCUUCGGGUCGUAAACCUCUGUCAGAAGGGAAGAACCGCCUUGGACCUAAUACGUCCUAGGCCUGACGGUACCUUCAGAGGAAGCGCCGGCUAACUCCGUGCCAGCAGCCGCGGUAAUACGGAGGGCGCAAGCGUUAAUCGGAAUCACUGGGCGUAAAGCGCGCGUAGGCUGUUUGAUAAGUCAGACGUGAAAUCCCUCGGCUCAACCGGGGAACUGCGUUUGAUACUGUCGAACUCGAGUCCUGGAGAGGGUGGCGGAAUUCCUGGUGUAGGAGUGAAAUCCGUAGAUAUCAGGAGGAACACCGGUGGCGAAGGCGGCCACCUGGACAGGUACUGACGCUGAGGCGCGAAAGCGUGGGGAGCAAAACAGGAUUAGAUACCCUGGUAGUCCACGCGGUAAACGAUGGAUGCUAGGGUGUCGGGGGAUGGAUCUUCGGCGCCGCAGCUAACGC
This 512-nucleotide ribosomal RNA is filed under the name uncultured Pseudomonadota bacterium. RNAcentral describes it as "bacterial SSU rRNA". It matches the Rfam family "Bacterial small subunit ribosomal RNA", at positions 355 to 858 of the family's 1533-position model. Lineage: Bacteria; Pseudomonadati; Pseudomonadota. The record is from RNAcentral.